AAGCUAAUGUGUGCGUAAUAUUCAUCGCUCUGGGUCCGACAGCAGUGUUUUGCAUUCAGAUCUUGCUAUCCACACAAACAUCAUGCAGCCAAAGAAUAAGUUGGGGUCAUAGUACUGCUCUAGUGUCAUCUCACUGGACCUAAUUUACUACUGGCCAGCUUCCAAAUUUCCACACAGGA
Molecule: small nucleolar RNA, 179 nt
Organism: Artibeus jamaicensis (Jamaican fruit-eating bat)
Lineage: Eukaryota; Metazoa; Chordata; Mammalia; Chiroptera; Phyllostomidae
Product: small nucleolar RNA SNORA23
Exons: 1
Source: RefSeq, a predicted model, not a curated record